GAAAGGAAACAAACCUCUGUGUUAAAAUACUAUGUGCAGUAAGCGUAACUUACUUCAGUACUCCAUUAUGUUGUUGUCAAUAGAAUUAGUUAACAUUUAUAUGCGAAAUACAGUGCCAGAAUCCCGAGAGUGUACAUUAUGGAUAUUACGUAUGCACUGUGAUGAGUAACACCGCUGCCUACCGGAGACAACCUCUUUAUGGUUAAGUUUGAACCUCUUCAACCACAGUAUAAAAUCUUGGGACGAAAUUUACACAUAUGUUAUGAUACACUACUAAACCUUUUUUUCUUGUAGUGGCGUGAUGAGAAAGGAAUGAGAUCUGACCCAAGCAAAUAUGACAACCUCUUCUUUCUUGUUAGUGACCUUUGAAACUUCAUAUUGGACCAGAUUAUACACGUCAAAAGGCAUUAGCCAUGACCCAAAAUCUGACGUAGGAAUGCAUCUUGAUCCCCAACAACUUGGUGAGAUGGAAAGACCAGCCUUAGGCCGUUGAUUGGACAAGUGAAUGUAAUGUGAUCAGAAUGAAUGUUAUCGGACUUGUGUCUAUGAUGUAAUCAGGCGUGAAUGUGAUCGGAC
RNAcentral lists this long non-coding RNA (576 nucleotides) under Sorghum bicolor (sorghum). RNAcentral's name for it is "long non-coding RNA (SBIC_LNC014977)". The record is from RNAcentral. Lineage: Eukaryota; Viridiplantae; Streptophyta; Magnoliopsida; Poales; Poaceae.